GACGAACGCUGGCGGCGUGCUUAACACAUGCAAGUCGAACGGAAAGGCCCUGCUAUUGUGGUGUUCUCGAGUGGCGAACGGGUGAGUAACACGUGAGUAACCUGCCCUUCACUUUGGGAUAACUUCACGAAACUAGGGCUAAUACCGGAUAGGAUCUCCUGCUGCAGUGUGGGGGUUGGAUAUUUUCGGCGGUUGGGGAUGGACUCGCGGCUUAUCAGCUUGUUGGUGGGGUAGUGGCUUACCAAGGCUUUGACGGGUAGCCGGCCUGAGAGGGUGACCGGAUACAUUGGGACUGAGAUACGGCCCAGACUCCUACGGGAGGCAGCAGUGGGGAAUAUUGCACAAUGGGCGGAAGCCUGAUGCAGCAACGCCGCGUGCGGGAUGACGGCCUUCGGGUUGUAAACCGCUUUCGCCUGUGACGAAGCGUGAGUGACGGUAAUGGGUAAAGAAGCACCGGCUAACUACGUG
This 468-nucleotide ribosomal RNA is filed under the name uncultured bacterium. RNAcentral's name for it is "partial 16S ribosomal RNA". It matches the Rfam family "Bacterial small subunit ribosomal RNA", at positions 28 to 507 of the family's 1533-position model. The record is from RNAcentral.